Cebus imitator (Panamanian white-faced capuchin) is the source of this 252-nucleotide long non-coding RNA. RefSeq lists it as uncharacterized. Lineage: Eukaryota; Metazoa; Chordata; Mammalia; Primates; Cebidae. The record is from RefSeq and is a predicted model, not a curated record. The transcript is spliced from 3 exons.
AUUUAUUCGAAGCCUCAGUUGGCCACAUUUUGGUACUACGCCAAGGUUGAGCUGAUUCCUCCCACCCCUGCUGAGAUCCCUAGAACUAUUCAGAGCCUGAAAGAAAUAGUCAAUAGUGCUCAGACUGGUAGCUUCAAACAACUCACAGUUAAGGAAGCUAUGCUGAAUGGUUUGGUAGCCACUGAGGUGUUGAUGUGGUUUUAUGUCGGAGAGAUCAUAGGCAAGCGCUUCGUGUAGGGAAAGAGUAAGUGA